This 144-nucleotide unclassified non-coding RNA is filed under the name uncultured Basidiomycota. RNAcentral describes it as "sequence contains ITS1". The record is from RNAcentral. Lineage: Eukaryota; Fungi; Basidiomycota.
UUGAAUUGUAGGACGCUCUCUUUAGAGGUCCGACCUUUCAUUUUCUCACACUGUGCACAACACUACUUUUUACACCCACACUUUACUCGUAUAAGUCUAUUAAAGAAUGUAUACAAAGUCUCUUAAUUGAGCAUUGAAAUAGUA